GACGAACGCUGGCGGCGUGCCUAAUACAUGCAAGUAGAACGCUGAAGGAGGAGCUUGCUUCUCUGGAUGAGUUGCGAACGGGUGAGUAACGCGUAGGUAACCUGCCUGGUAGCGGGGAUAACUAUUGGAAACGAUAGCUAAUACCGCAAAAUAGUAGAUGGUGCAUGACAUUUGCUUAAAAGGUGCAAUUGCAUCACUAACAGAUGGACCUGCGUUGUAUUAGCUAGUUGGUGGGGUAACGGCUCACCAAGGCGACGAUACAUAGCCGACCUGAGAGGGUGAUCGGCCACACUGGGACUGAGACACGGCCCAGACUCCUACGGGAGGCAGCAGUAGGGAAUCUUCGGCAAUGGACGGAAGUCUGACCGAGCAACGCCGCGUGAGUGAAGAAGGUUUUCGGAUCGUAAAGCUCUGUUGUAAGAGAAGAACGAGUGUGAGAGUGGAAAGUUCACACUGUGACGGUAUCUUACCAGAAAGGGACGGCUAACUACGUG
This 494-nucleotide ribosomal RNA is filed under the name uncultured bacterium. RNAcentral describes it as "partial 16S ribosomal RNA". It matches the Rfam family "Bacterial small subunit ribosomal RNA", at positions 28 to 507 of the family's 1533-position model. The record is from RNAcentral.